Non-coding RNA from Cyanistes caeruleus (blue tit), 1180 nucleotides. The record is from RefSeq and is a predicted model, not a curated record. Lineage: Eukaryota; Metazoa; Chordata; Aves; Passeriformes; Paridae.
GACUGCGCGUGUGCCGGUCCCAGCGGCUGUACCAUCAAUUAGCCAGGAGGAGUGGACAGAAAGUGCUCUCAUGUCUCUCAGUGUUCAUCAGGGUGCGAGGUUUUCUAUAGGUUGUUAAAUAAAGCUGCGCUGUGCAACAGUGGCAGUGCUCCCUUCGCUUUCUGAGCGUUCUGACGUUACAGGACAGGCCAGCAGUAUUCAGGGGCGGCCAGUGGGGUCUGUUAGGGAAGGGCCUCAUUCCUGAAAAAAACAGAAGUAUUUUCCAUGCUGAGCUUUCCAAUGACUGCCAGCUACAGUGGUGUGCCUCAGUGGUGACGGUGGAGGGCAACAUGAACACUCAUGAGGCCUUGCACUGCUUGUGGAAUUGGUCUGAGCUGUGAGCCAGGUAGGUCCCCCUGCACCUGGGCUGCUGGGGAUUGACUGGCUGGGUGACUGCACAGGCCAACAGGACCUGGGAUACAAUAAAAGUUAUUGUCCAGAAAUGCAUCCUUCUGCAACGGUGGCCAGCAGCAUCCUGGGCUCCACUGGGCAUGGCACUGCAGCAGAUCGAGGGAGAUGCUACUUUUCCCACCUUGGCUCAGCUUUGUGAAGACUGCAGUCAGAGUGUUCUGUCCAGGCCAGCGCUCUCCAGGACAAGAAGGGCACUGACAUACUGUGGUGACUCUUGGAAAGGAUCACUGAGAUGAUUAGGAGAUUAGAUCCAAUCCUGAUGUGUAAGGAUAAACUGAGAGAGAUGGGACAGUUUAGACUACAGAAGAGAAAAUUCAAGAGGUAAUUAUCAAUGUGUGCAAAUAACAGCAGGGACACUAAAUGAGAUGGACCCUCCUAAGUGGACCCAGUGAAAGAACAAGAGGGAAUUGGCUGAAAUAUGAGAAAUCCUGCUUGAAUGUAAGGAAGACUUUUAAACUGUGAGGAUGCUGAACACAGGCACAUGUUGAGAUAUCCUGUCUCAAGAGGAAGCAUCAUCUUCCAGUGUGAGAAGAGCACUGUGGAACCAGUGGAAAUUCUGAUGUUCUGUUUAUGAUGCUGUUCCUGCACUUGCAAGGCACAGUCUUUCUUUAAAAGAGUUUUUGCAGUUUCAAGUGUGCUGACUAAUUGAAAACUAGCAAUCCUAGACUGAAAAAAACCCCAACCCCAAACAUCUGUUACUGUGGCUCCCUUUCCAGAAAUGGCUACAUUA